Molecule: transfer RNA, 72 nt
Filed under: Candidatus Pacearchaeota archaeon
Lineage: Archaea; Nanobdellati
Description: tRNA-Trp
Rfam family: tRNA
About the family: Transfer RNA (tRNA) molecules are approximately 80 nucleotides in length. Their secondary structure includes four short double-helical elements and three loops (D, anti-codon, and T loops).
Source: RNAcentral
GGAGCUGUAGUUCAAUGGUUAGAAUGUUGGUCUCCAGAACCAGUGAUGGGGGUUCGAUUCCCUCCAGCUCCA